AAACUUUCAACAACGGAUCUCUUGGUUCUGGCAUCGAUGAAGAACGCAGCGAAAUGCGAUAAGUAAUGUGAAUUGCAGAAUUUAGUGAAUCAUCGAAUCUUUGAACGCACAUUGCGCCCCCUGGUAUUCCGGGGGGCAUGCCUGUCCGAGCGUCAUUG
This 158-nucleotide ribosomal RNA is filed under the name Rhizocladosporium argillaceum. Its description in RNAcentral is "5.8S ribosomal RNA". It matches the Rfam family "5.8S ribosomal RNA". Rfam says of the family: 5.8S ribosomal RNA (5.8S rRNA) is a component of the large subunit of the eukaryotic ribosome. Lineage: Eukaryota; Fungi; Ascomycota; Leotiomycetes; Helotiales. The record is from RNAcentral.